UAGGGAAUCUUCCACAAUGGGCGAAAGCCUGAUGGAGCAACGCCGCGUGAGUGAUGAAGGCCUUUGGGUUGUAAAACUCUGUCUUCUGUGACGAACAAGCCUGUGAGUAAAAUGCUCAGGCCCUGACGGUAACAGAGGAGGAAGCCACGGCUAACUACGUGCCAGCAGCCGCGGUAAUACGUAGGUGGCAAGCGUUGUCCGGAAUCACUGGGCGUAAAGCGCGCGCAGGCGGCGAUCUACGUCUGGGGUGAAAGCCCGGAGCUCAACUCCGGGACUGCCUUGGAUACGGGAUCGCUUGAGAAUUGGAGAGGCAAGGGGAAUUCCACGUGUAGCGGUGAAAUGCGUAGAUAUGUGGAGGAACACCUGUGGCGAAGGCGCCUUGCUGGCCAAUUUCUGACGCUGAGGCGCGAAAGCGUGGGGAGCAAACA
RNAcentral lists this ribosomal RNA (428 nucleotides) under uncultured Tumebacillus sp. Its description in RNAcentral is "bacterial SSU rRNA". It matches the Rfam family "Bacterial small subunit ribosomal RNA", at positions 355 to 774 of the family's 1533-position model. The record is from RNAcentral. Lineage: Bacteria; Bacillati; Bacillota; Bacilli; Caryophanales; Alicyclobacillaceae.